RNAcentral lists this ribosomal RNA (253 nucleotides) under uncultured bacterium. RNAcentral's name for it is "partial 16S ribosomal RNA". It matches the Rfam family "Bacterial small subunit ribosomal RNA", at positions 524 to 776 of the family's 1533-position model. The record is from RNAcentral.
UACGUAGGGUGCAAGCGUUAUCCGGAAUUAUUGGGCGUAAAGCGCGCGCAGGCGGUUUCUUAAGUCUGAUGUGAAAGCCCACGGCUCAACCGUGGAGGGUCAUUGGAAACUGGGGAACUUGAGUGCAGAAGAGAAAAGCGGAAUUCCACGUGUAGCGGUGAAAUGCGUAGAGAUGUGGAGGAACACCAGUGGCGAAGGCGGCUUUUUGGUCUGUAACUGACGCUGAGGCGCGAAAGCGUGGGGAGCAAACAGG